AAACAAUUUAACAGGACACAAAAACAUCUACUGUCUAAGAACACAUGGAUUGAUUUGAGUGUCUGACGUCAGAAAAAUUAUAUACGUCACAUAAAUUUGUCGUUCAAUGUGAAUACAAACAAUUUUAAAAUUUUCAUAGGCAAUGUACGCAUACAGGGUUAAAAAAUCAAAAGUAUGUAAGAAUAAAUUACAGAAAUAGACCGAG
This 205-nucleotide long non-coding RNA is filed under the name Mytilus galloprovincialis (Mediterranean mussel). Lineage: Eukaryota; Metazoa; Mollusca; Bivalvia; Mytilida; Mytilidae. The record is from RNAcentral.